GGGGAUUUAGCUCAGUGGUUCCAGCACCUGCCUCGAAAGCCUAAGGGCCUGAGUUCAAUUCCCGGUAACCCCU
RNAcentral lists this transfer RNA (73 nucleotides) under Fukomys damarensis (Damara mole-rat). It matches the Rfam family "tRNA". Rfam says of the family: Transfer RNA (tRNA) molecules are approximately 80 nucleotides in length. Lineage: Eukaryota; Metazoa; Chordata; Mammalia; Rodentia; Bathyergidae. The record is from Rfam by way of RNAcentral.